Molecule: non-coding RNA, 73 nt
Organism: Ameiurus melas (black bullhead)
Lineage: Eukaryota; Metazoa; Chordata; Actinopteri; Siluriformes; Ictaluridae
Source: the annotation of a GenBank genome assembly
GAUCCUGUGGCUCAAUUGGAAGAGCUUCGCCUCUGAAUGGAGAGGUUGUUGGUUCAAACCCCAGCCAGGUUCU